UACAGAGGGUGCGAGCGUUGUUCGGAAUUAUUGGGCGUAAAGGGCGCGUAGGCGGUGCGGUAAGUCACCUGUGAAAUCUCCUGGCUCAACUGGGAGCUUGCAGGCGAAACUGCCGUGCUGGAGUGUGGGAGAGGUGAGUGGAAUUCCCAGUGUAGAGGUGAAAUUCGUAGAUAUUGGGAAGAACACCGGUGGCGAAGGCGGCUCACUGGCUCAUAUCUGACGCUCAGGCGCGACAGCGUGGGGAUCAAACAGG
Molecule: ribosomal RNA, 253 nt
Filed under: uncultured bacterium
Lineage: Bacteria
Description: partial 16S ribosomal RNA
Rfam family: Bacterial small subunit ribosomal RNA
Source: RNAcentral